UGCAAGUCGAGCGGUAGCACAGAGAGCUUGCUCUCGGGUGACGAGCGGCGGACGGGUGAGUAAUGUCUGGGAAACUGCCUGAUGGAGGGGGAUAACUACUGGAAACGGUAGCUAAUACCGCAUAACGUCGCAAGACCAAAGUGGGGGACCUUCGGGCCUCAUGCCAUCAGAUGUGCCCAGAUGGGAUUAGCUAGUAGGUGGGGUAACGGCUCACCUAGGCGACGAUCCCUAGCUGGUCUGAGAGGAUGACCAGCCACACUGGAACUGAGACACGGUCCAGACUCCUACGGGAGGCAGCAGUGGGGAAUAUUGCACAAUGGGCGCAAGCCUGAUGCAGCCAUGCCGCGUGUGUGAAGAAGGCCUUCGGGUUGUAAAGCACUUUCAGCGGGGAGGAAGGCGAUAAGGUUAAUAACCUUGUCGAUUGACGUUACCCGCAGAAGAAGCACCGGCUAACUCCGUGCCAGCAGCCGCGGUAAUACGGAGGGUGCAAGCGUUAAUCGGAAUUACUGGGCGUAAAGCGCACGCAGGCGGUCUGUCAAGUCGGAUGUGAAAUCCCCGGGCUCAACCUGGGAACUGCAUUCGAAACUGGCAGGCUAGAGUCUUGUAGAGGGGGGUAGAAUUCCAGGUGUAGCGGUGAAAUGCGUAGAGAUCUGGAGGAAUACCGGUGGCGAAGGCGGCCCCCUGGACAAAGACUGACGCUCAUGUGCGAAAGCGUGGGGAGCAAACAGGAUUAGAUACCCUGGUAGUCCACGCCGUAAACGAUGUCGAUUUGGAGGUUGUGCCCUUGAGGCGUGCCUUCCGGAGCUAACGCGUUAAAUCGACCGCCUGGGGAGUACGGCCGCAAGGUUAAAACUCAAAUGAAUUGACGGGGGCCCGCACAAGCGGUGGAGCAUGUGGUUUAAUUCGAUGCAACGCGAAGAACCUUAGGGGGUGGGUGACAUCCACAGAACAAAAGCAGAGAUGGUUUGGUGCCUUCGGGAACUGUGAGACAGGUGCUGCAUGGCUGUCGUCAGCUCGUGUUGUGAAAUGUUGGGUUAAGUCCCGCAACGAGCGCAACCCUUAUCCUUUGUUGCCAGCGGUUCGGCCGGGAACUCAAAGGAGACUGCCAGUGAUAAACUGGAGGAAGGUGGGGAUGACGUCAAGUCAUCAUGGCCCUUACGACCAGGGCUACACACGUGCUACAAUGGCAUAUACAAAGAGAAGCGACCUCGCGAGAGCAAGCGGACCUCAUAAAGUAUGUCGUAGUCCGGAUUGGAGUCUGCAACUCGACUCCAUGAAGUCGGAAUCGCUAGUAAUCGUAGAUCAGAAUGCUACGGUGAAUACGUUCCCGGGCCUUGUACACACCGCCCGUCACACCAUGGGAGUGGGUUGCAAAAGAAGUAGGUAGCUUAACCUUCGGGAGGGC
Molecule: ribosomal RNA, 1405 nt
Filed under: Klebsiella pneumoniae subsp. rhinoscleromatis
Lineage: Bacteria; Pseudomonadati; Pseudomonadota; Gammaproteobacteria; Enterobacterales; Enterobacteriaceae
Description: bacterial SSU rRNA
Rfam family: Bacterial small subunit ribosomal RNA
Source: RNAcentral